RNAcentral lists this ribosomal RNA (653 nucleotides) under uncultured bacterium. Its description in RNAcentral is "bacterial SSU rRNA". It matches the Rfam family "Bacterial small subunit ribosomal RNA", at positions 21 to 674 of the family's 1533-position model. The record is from RNAcentral.
GGCCGCGGGAAUCCCUUUAAAGCCUAACACAUGCAAGUCGAGCGGAGAGAGAAUCUUGCUUCUCUUGAGAGCGGCGGACGGGUGAGUAAUGCCUAGGAAUCUGCCUGGUAGUGGGGGAUAACGUUCGGAAACGGACGCUAAUACCGCAUACGUCCUACGGGAGAAAGCAGGGGACCUUCGGGCCUUGCGCUAUCAGAUGAGCCUAGGUCGGAUUAGCUAGUUGGUGAGGUAAUGGCUCACCAAGGCUACGAUCCGUAACUGGUCUGAGAGGAUGAUCAGUCACACUGGAACUGAGACACGGUCCAGACUCCUACGGGAGGCAGCAGUGGGGAAUAUUGGACAAUGGGCGAAAGCCUGAUCCAGCCAUGCCGCGUGUGUGAAGAAGGUCUUCGGAUUGUAAAGCACUUUAAGUUGGGAGGAAGGGCAUUAACCUAAUACGUUAGUGUUUUGACGUUACCGACAGAAUAAGCACCGGCUAACUCUGUGCCAGCAGCCGCGGUAAUACAGAGGGUGCAAGCGUUAAUCGGAAUUACUGGGCGUAAAGCGCGCGUAGGUGGUUUGUUAAGUUGGAUGUGAAAUCCCCGGGCUCAACCUGCGAACUGCAUUCAAAACUGACUGACUAGAGUAUGGUAGAGGGUGGUGGAAUUUCCUGU